AUACUCUCAACAUCCAACCCUAGCUGUCGAUGCUUUUAAGCCCUCUCCGUUGCGCUAAGGUGACUCUACCGGUGAUACUUUUUAUCAAAAUGACCCACAAUGCCUUCUCUUCUCUUCCAUCCGAACGAAUCUUUCGAAACAUGAAUAAGGACAAGCAAAACUAGACCAGAGCGUUAGUCUCUUCACUCGUUGGAUUCACAUUGUUCAUCUUCGGAUGUGAUUGAAAUCACGCAACGUUCCUCUCUUCGACUUAGGCUCCUUAUCUACCAUUUUGAUUCACCGAAGAAAGCUCUAACCGUCACCAACUUAAGAACCCGAGAAGGUGAUAAUGAGGGCUUCUGUUUACUUUGUGCUCUUCGUCAUCAUAUUGAACUUUCAUUGAAUUUUCAAGAGUUGUAUUGCCUCACAAAAGAUUUUACAAAUUGAACUGUAUUGCAUCAUUUUUCAAAGAUAUCAACAGGAAGAAGCUCACGAGUUCCUGCAAUGCAUGUUACAUAGACUUGAAAGCUGUUGACUAAAGCCCAAGAAUGAUUUGUCCUCUGUUGAUUAUUUCCUCUGGUCGCCUGGUUAGCAGAGUAUAAAUGUUACAACUUGAUC
Molecule: long non-coding RNA, 597 nt
Organism: Hibiscus syriacus
Lineage: Eukaryota; Viridiplantae; Streptophyta; Magnoliopsida; Malvales; Malvaceae
Exons: 3
Source: RefSeq, a predicted model, not a curated record